Molecule: long non-coding RNA, 614 nt
Filed under: Coturnix japonica (Japanese quail)
Lineage: Eukaryota; Metazoa; Chordata; Aves; Galliformes; Phasianidae
Description: lncRNA (ENSCJPG00005014865.1)
Source: RNAcentral
UGGCAUCAGUUCUAACAGCAGCUAAAAUUCAGAUUUUGUCUCUACUUUUGAAGAAGAUAAAUGGAAUGUCUCCAUAGAAUUGCAAGUUCAGCACUGACUGACACAGAUUCUUCACUUUGUUUGAAUUCCUCCAACAAGAGCUGAAGGAAGCAUAUGCUGCAGUUUUGGUGAACAGCGGUCCCUUGAGCAAAAUUUUCAGGCUAUGGAAUUUAGGCACCUGGGUACCUGGCUGCGCUUGCUGAAUGCACUUUGAAGGUACAGAGAAGAGGUGGAAACCAAAUACAGAAUCCCAUCUGUAAACUCUCAUCUCAUAGAAAUCAAAGGGAGUUGUGCAGCUGACUUCAUUUGACUCCGUGUUCCGGUACCUGGCUUCUAACUGCAAGAUCCUGCUGUCAAUUUUACUAAAACAAAACAAAAUGCACCACACACAUAAAGCAAAAGAAAUGACACCCAAACCCAUGUAUGAUUAAACAAGAAUAUUAGCAUACCCAUUUCUUGGCAUUGUCAAUAGGCUUUGAUAUAUUAAUGUGUAAUUGCCUAUAGAAACAUGAGCAGAUCAAAGAGAAAGGAUGAAAUGUGGGGGAUAAGUUCUCUGUUAUGAGAAGAAAGGCACA